UUGUAAGUGACAAGCAGCGAGCAGGUGAUUCAUGGUCACCUUUACCUCACUGUUUUGUUACAGACAUGGGUGUAACUCUCCUCUGCUGGGAAAGAGAAACUUGAAGCAAUAUGAGAAAGUUGAUGUGGUCCUGCCUGGUGUGUUAUUUGGAUGUUGUUCUCAAUGUUGUCAAACGAAACUUGAAGAACGUGUUUUAGAAGAGAAAACAAAAUUUGGGAUUUCAUUGUUCUGAAAAAGUCUGAGGUAGUAAAAAUAAAACGCUGCUGGACAACA
Molecule: long non-coding RNA, 273 nt
Filed under: Anser brachyrhynchus (Pink-footed goose)
Lineage: Eukaryota; Metazoa; Chordata; Aves; Anseriformes; Anatidae
Description: lncRNA (ENSABRG00000021834.1)
Source: RNAcentral